RNAcentral lists this long non-coding RNA (633 nucleotides) under Phoenix dactylifera (date palm). RNAcentral describes it as "long non-coding RNA (PDAC_LNC003930)". The record is from RNAcentral. Lineage: Eukaryota; Viridiplantae; Streptophyta; Magnoliopsida; Arecales; Arecaceae.
GUUUGUUCGCUUAAAGUUUAGAAAAGAGAUUGAUGAUUUGCAGUGUAAAAUUCAAAAAGUAUGUUACAUAUAAAAAAGAAAUUCUUUAUGGUGUUUUCAACGAUGUCGCAACAUUGUUAUCGCAAUCACAUCUAAAUCUCCACAAAAGUCCUUGUAGUAGAAACUUGAGUAACUAAAAAAUUCAUAUCAUGAUGAUAUAAGGAGGUUCGUGCAACUUGAAUCCAUGCAUUAGGAGGAACAAUUCAUGCAUCAUAUAAGAAUAAAGGCAACACAGGGACAUAUGUAAAAGGUAACAUGCAUGAAGUUGGAGAUUAUUUGAUGAUCACGUAUAAAUAUGUUUGUUCAUGGAUUAUACAUGAAUUUCAUCGGAAUCCUUGCUACAUGCUUCAUUUAUGGCUCCAUGCUUAUGCAGAGUGUCAAUCACGACGUUUAGAUCCAUUGCACAAAACUUUUGCUUGAGCUAAUGCUGUAUGGUAGACUUUGGAACCAGAUUUUAAAGGAAAAUGCGAUUAGUGUGCAACCCCAACAACCACACCCCCACCAAACCCACCACAAAAAAAAAGAAAAAGUACUCGUACAACACACAAACACAGCAUUUGGUCUGUAGUAAGCCAAGAACACCUAAAAUAUGAU